UAUACACAUUACAUAUCUACAAUACGCAACAUAUCGACGAACGCAACGUCGCGACGCAUGGUGAAGUGGUGCUUUUGUAUAGCUCACACUCCACCGUCUUCUCCCAUCGCGCAAAAUACUUCUUCCCGGAGCCUUGACGGAGUAGCCCGCGAUGAACUAGAUGCAGACUCGGCCGACGGAGUUUCUACAUCUUCUUCGUACUGGGAUGAGGUUGCCCCGCAGCUCAGACUCCUUUUCAGCCCAGAGUUCGAGCAGGUACUCCUCAUCCUGGCUCCCCCACAGUUUCCUUUUUUUAUUUUUUUUCUUCCAUAUUCUGUAAAUAAAAAAACAAAAAGCAAUAAUUCUUAUUUCGUAAAGAUAAAUUGUAUAAAUAAUAUUACUUACCACGGCCAAAUUGUUUUGAUUGUUUGAAUAUAUGUAUAAUUGUUUUGAACAAAAUUUCAAAAUAAAA
Molecule: long non-coding RNA, 451 nt
Organism: Eupeodes corollae
Lineage: Eukaryota; Metazoa; Arthropoda; Insecta; Diptera; Syrphidae
Exons: 2
Source: RefSeq, a predicted model, not a curated record